This is a long non-coding RNA of Tupaia belangeri chinensis (Chinese tree shrew), 369 nucleotides long. RefSeq lists it as uncharacterized. The transcript has 3 exons. The record is from RefSeq and is a predicted model, not a curated record. NCBI's taxonomy places the organism in Eukaryota, Metazoa, Chordata, Mammalia, Scandentia, Tupaiidae.
CUGAAGAAAUUAUACCUGCUGAACCUUUAUUUUAUGAUCUUAAACUACUCAAUACUUUAACGGGAAGCUGCUUCGUGUUUCAGCUUUUCAUUUAAUUUGGCAGACAUUUAUGAGGACCAACUCUGAGGAAAAGCACACUGCUGGAGACCGAGGAUACAAAGGAAUGUCCCUUUGUUUCAAGUUCCAGCACGGAGUGAGAAGCAUCUGUGUACCACACACUGCUAAUGUGCAUGAAUACCAUCUCCAAGGGAUGAACACUGAAGCUUCGUUUAGUGCCAAUAGUGACAAAAUGUCAAAGCUAGACGUUACUCAAAGAGAGCCAUCAGAAGUCAUUGGAUAGCACCUCCUAGGAGUCAGCUAGCUGAUAUU